GGCCAGACAGACCCAGUGUCCCAGCCCCAGUGUCCCGGGCCCGGGCGAGGAACCGCAUAGGCAACAGGAGCCCCGCACCAGCGGCCCCGGCCCCGCUGCAAGGGGGAGUGCGGUGCUGACAUUUCUGCCGCCACGUAAGAGCCUCAGGCGAGUCCCUCUCCGCCCUCUCCAGUCCCCUCCCUCCCCCCCCGCCAUGGCACGAUCGACGUGUCAGCCCCAAAAGUUGAUUUCCAGGCCCUGGGAGAGUCCCUAUAAAGGUCCCGGGGCGUGCGUGGGACGGUGAGACGUGGCACCGCGGGGCUGCAGCGGGGGCGCGUAAGCAUCUCCCCCAGCCAAUUCCCUGAACUGAUGCUUUCAAAAUGAAGAGGAAGAUAGGAGUGAGAAUGAAGAAUACCUUGGAGAAAUCCAGUCAUAAAGUUUGAGGAGUAGAAGUAAUAGGAAAUAUUAAUAACUCUGGUCUCUUGCAUCAGUCAGAAUUCAGACUAAAAUGACGUAAAGUUACAAACCUGAGACAUAAGGGAUAUUAAAUUUGAAUCAAGAUUCACAUAUUUUUAUAUUAAUACAUAAUAAAAAUAUUUGCUUUUUCCCCUCAACUUUGGAUGGUAAUAUAUUCUGCUGCCUUUUACAACUUUCUUAUAUAGACUAAGUUUUCUUUUUUUUCAUAUUAGCCCCGAGACACCUCUUCAAACUAAGCCAGGGUAUAUAUUAGCAAUAUAUUAAUUGCUCCUCUC
Long non-coding RNA from Lonchura striata (white-rumped munia), 731 nucleotides. RefSeq lists it as uncharacterized. Lineage: Eukaryota; Metazoa; Chordata; Aves; Passeriformes; Estrildidae. The record is from RefSeq and is a predicted model, not a curated record.